AAUUUACUGUAGUUAAACGGCUUGUAGUUGAUCCUGGCACAGGGAAGGGUUUGUUGUGAGAGAGCUCCUGUCUGUCUCUUGGGGCCCUCUUUGUUUUCAGCUGUUUCAUUGGGGCUGAAGUAUACAUGUGGAGAAAUUGUAGCAUCCAGAGCAGCUAUAGGCUGCCUGGAUACGGUUGCUAGGAACUGUGGAAUGGGAAUGUGGUUCUGUUUUCUUUUGGAACUUGGUGGAGAAUGAUUAAGUAUAAGGUGGAGGUAUUAGUGUUGCACCUCUAGAGCUUUUAAACCAGUGUAAAUCUUAAACCAGUGUAAGACCAACUGAAGUGAAAACUUUUGCCAAGGAUGUUUUCAUUACUCAAGGAUGAAGGUGAAAUGGGGAGGUUUAAAAAGGGUUAGGUCCCAUGUAGUUUUGACCAUAAAGGUUGGAAAUGUCUUCUA
RNAcentral lists this ribosomal RNA (437 nucleotides) under Marmota monax (woodchuck). RNAcentral describes it as "Eukaryotic small subunit ribosomal RNA". It matches the Rfam family "Eukaryotic small subunit ribosomal RNA", at positions 607 to 1054 of the family's 1831-position model. Lineage: Eukaryota; Metazoa; Chordata; Mammalia; Rodentia; Sciuridae. The record is from Rfam by way of RNAcentral.